UCGGGAAUUUUGGGCAAUGGGCGAAAGCCUGACGCAGCAACGCCGCGUGAGUGAUGAAGGCCUUCGGGUCGUAAAGCUCUGUCGGAGGGAACGAAUGCUCCUGAAGUUAACAGCCUCAGGAGGUGACGGUACCCUCAAAGGAAGCACCGGCUAACUCUGUGCCAGCAGCCGCGGUAAUACAGAGGGUGCAAGCGUUGUUCGGAAUCAUUGGGCGUAAAGGGCGUGUAGGCGGUAUGACAAGUCACUUGUGAAAUCUCUGGGCUUAACCCAGAACGGCCAAGUGAUACUGUCGCGCUAGAGUGCAGAAGGGGCAAUCGGAAUUCUUGGUGUAGCGGUGAAAUGCGUAGAUAUCAAGAGGAACACCUGAGGUGAAGACGGGUUGCUGGGCUGACACUGACGCUGAGGCGCGAAAGCCAGGGGAGCAAACGGGAUUAGAUACCCUGGUAGUCCCUGAGCGGGCUGGCAAGGCGCAU
This 473-nucleotide ribosomal RNA is filed under the name uncultured bacterium. RNAcentral describes it as "bacterial SSU rRNA". It matches the Rfam family "Bacterial small subunit ribosomal RNA", at positions 355 to 825 of the family's 1533-position model. The record is from RNAcentral.